CACCGCGGUUAUACGAGAGGCCCAAGUUGAAAAACACCGGCGUAAAACGUGGUUAGAUUAAAAUUAAACUAAAGUCAAACAUCUUUAGGGCUGUUAUACGUGCCCAAAGACAGGAGCUUCAAUCACGAAAGUAACUUUAUGUAAAUUGAACCCACAAAAGCUAUACCU
This 168-nucleotide ribosomal RNA is filed under the name Careproctus comus. RNAcentral describes it as "partial 12S rRNA". The record is from RNAcentral. RNAcentral also lists the same sequence under 1 other name. Lineage: Eukaryota; Metazoa; Chordata; Actinopteri; Perciformes; Liparidae.